UACGUAGGUGGCGAGCGUUGUCCGGAUUUACUGGGCGUAAGGAGCGCGCAGGCGGUCGUACAAGUCGCGUGUGAAAGCCCCCGGCUCAACUGGGGAGGGUCACGCGAUACUGUUCGACUCGAAGGCAGGAGAGGGAAGCGGAAUUCCCGGUGUAGUGGUGAAAUGCGUAGAUAUCGGGAGGAACACCAGUGGCGAAGGCGGCUUCCUGGCCUGUUCUUGACGCUGAGGCGCGAAAGCUAGGGUAGCAAACGGG
RNAcentral lists this ribosomal RNA (253 nucleotides) under uncultured bacterium. RNAcentral's name for it is "partial 16S ribosomal RNA". It matches the Rfam family "Bacterial small subunit ribosomal RNA", at positions 524 to 776 of the family's 1533-position model. The record is from RNAcentral.